GAUGAACGCUGGCGGCGUGCCUAAUACAUGCAAGUCGAGCGAACGGACGAGAAGCUUGCUUUUCUGAUGUUAGCGGCGGACGGGUGAGUAACACGUGGAUAACCUACCUAUAAGACUGGGAUAACUUCGGGAAACCGGAGCUAAUACCGGAUAAUAUUUUGAACCGCAUGGGUCAAAAGUGAAAGACGGUCUUGCUGUCACUUAUAGAUGGAUCUGCGCUGCAUUAGCUAGUUGGUAAGGUAACGGCUUACGAAGGCAGCGAUGCAUAGCCGACCUGAGAGGGUGGUCGGCCACCCUGGAACUGAGACACGGUACAGAGGCCUACGGGAGGCACCAGUAGGGAAUCUUGCGCAAUGGGCGAAAACCUGACGGAGCAACGCCGCGUGGGUGAUGAAGGUCUUCGGAUCGUAAAACUCUGUUAUUAGGGAAGAACAUAUGUGUAAGUAACAGUGCACAUCUUGACGGUACCUAAGCAGAGAGCCACGGCUAACUACGUG
Molecule: ribosomal RNA, 497 nt
Filed under: uncultured bacterium
Lineage: Bacteria
Description: partial 16S ribosomal RNA
Rfam family: Bacterial small subunit ribosomal RNA
Source: RNAcentral